UACGUAGGGUGCGAGCGUUGUCCGGAAUUAUUGGGCGUAAAGAGCUCGUAGGCGGUCUGUCGCGUCUGCUGUGAAAUCCCGAGGUUCAACCUCGGGCCUGCAGUGGGUACGGGCAGACUAGAGUGCGGUAGGGGAGAAUGGAAUUCCUGGUGUAGCGGUGGAAUGCGCAGAUAUCAGGAGGAACACCGAUGGCGAAGGCAGUUCUCUGGGCCGUAACUGACGCUGAGGAGCGAAAGCGUGGGGAGCGAACAGG
Molecule: ribosomal RNA, 253 nt
Filed under: uncultured bacterium
Lineage: Bacteria
Description: partial 16S ribosomal RNA
Rfam family: Bacterial small subunit ribosomal RNA
Source: RNAcentral